RNAcentral lists this long non-coding RNA (4406 nucleotides) under Sus scrofa (pig). RNAcentral's name for it is "lncRNA (ENSSSCG00015008651.1)". The record is from RNAcentral. Lineage: Eukaryota; Metazoa; Chordata; Mammalia; Artiodactyla; Suidae.
GGCUGAACCCACGGCAUAUGAAAGUUCCCAGGCUAGAAGUCUAAUCGGAUCUACAGCUGCUGGUCUACACCACAGCCACAGCAAUGCCAGAUCCAAGACGCAUCUUCGACCUACACCACAGUUCAUGGCAAUGCCAGAUCCUUAACCCACUGAGCAAGGCCAGGAAUUGAACCCACAACCUCAUGGUUUCUAGUUGGAUUUGUUUCCAUUGUGCCAUGGCAGGAACUCCCUAGUAACAUCGAAGACGACUGAUCACAGAUCAUCAUAACAAAUAUCCUAACAAUGAAAAAGUUUGAAAUAUUGUGAGAAUUACCAAAAUGUGACACACAGACAGGAAGUAAGCAAAUGCUGCUGCAAAAAUGGCCCCCACAGACUUGCCAAGGUUGCCACAAACAUUUAAUUUAAAAAAAAUCCAUUAUCUGGAACGUGCAAUAAAGCAAAGUGCAAUAAAGGCACACCUGUCAUUGGCAGAAUCAGUACUUCCCAGUGGGUACUUCAAGUGGGUCUGUUGGCAAAGGCCAUGUCACCACCCACAGAAUGCCAGGCUCAGGAAGCUCAGAGGCCCCAAGUCACAUAUUAUACAGAACAGUCAUUUUAGAAUUUGUUAAUAAAAUCUAAACUGAAGACUUAGUCCUCCUUCCCUGUCCCUCUCCAACUGUCUAGUCACUGAAGAGGGACAGUCAUAGGCCAAAAUACAGAAUAUUCAGGGGAUGGGGAAAGAAUGAAACAGAACAAUCUACAAACCAGAAAACUACCCCCUACACAGGAAUCCAGUGGUGUCCUUCAGCUACACCACACUGAGGAGGCACAUGUAGUUUUUUUUUUCCAUAUUUGAUCCUAAAAACAAUGAAAAUGAUGAAAUGGAAGUAAAAUGCUAAUAAUCUCAAAUAUUCCAUGCUCUUCCUGCUACACAGGUGUGUAUCACCUUGGUUUCUCUGGACCGGGACCAAGGAAAUGCUCCAUGAAUGUUGGAUGGAUGAAUGGAUGGAUAGAUAGAUGAAUGGAUGAAUGGAAUAACACUGUUGUCAGUAAUAAUGCCUUCCCAUCUAGGUGGAAUUCAAAUCUGUACUAUUCCAAUCAUUUGAUAUUUGGAGACAUAUUUGUCAUUUUAAUACUCGUAAUAUAACACAAGCUAUUUUAGCUUUAUCUUCUGUGAGCAUAUGGAGGAAAGAAUAUGAAUGUUUUGUUGCAAGGGAACAGGCUGCCUACUUAAAGAUCGUUUUCCAAAGAUUGUGACAGAAGCCCAAUUAUUGUCUUUUUAAAAACAAAACAAAAUAAAUGUUCCAGGAAAGACCCUUUAUGAGCACAAGUGGAGCUUUCUACCUAGGACAAUAAAAGAAAAUCCAAAGAAGAAUCAGUUCCAUGAACGGAGGGCCUCCGUAUGUCCUUCAAGGGGGAGGUGCUCUGGAGACUCCAAAGGAACCCUGACCUCAAGGAGCUUCUCAUCGAGUUGUUCAUUUACCAGCUAGAGAAUAAAACUUAGGAGGCAAGGAAAUGGCAUUGUGGUCUUUAACUCAGGCAGAGGGGGCAUAACGAUCAUUGCCAGGAAUGCAAAAGUAGUUACACAGAAGCUGAGGCCCAACACACUCCACCCUUACUAAGGACAACAAAGCUUUAAGAUUUUUAGUUAAGAAUAAGGACUGACUUCCUGAAAAAAAAAAAAAGCAAAAACCCUUUUCUGGUUCCAGUAGAUUUUCAGUCCUAUGGUCAGUAUAAGGUUUUCAAAUGGCUCCUUCUAGGCUGCGGUCUGAGGUAGGACGAAGGAAAAGGAAUGAGGGAGGACAGAGAGGUAGCCUUUGCCCCACCUUCAACAAGAGAAGCUCCUCGUGGACCUACUUUCUGUGCUGGGCUUUAUUUAGGAAAAAAGGGGAUGGGGACUUCUGCUACUAAAAAAUGAAUAACAAUUUGGGCACCACUAUUAUAGAACAUUGGCUAAAUCUCAUUCAUUGGUCUUUCAAUAAAUAUGGAACCCAGGAGUUCCCGUCGUGGUGCAGAGGUUAACGAAUCUGACUAGGAACCAUGAGGUUGCGGGUUCGAUCCCUGCCCUUGCUCAGUGGGUUAACGAUCCGGCGUUGCCGUGAGCUGUGGUGUAGGCUGGCGGCUACAGCUCCGAUUAGACCCCUAGCUUGGGAACCUCCGUAUGCCACAGGAGUGGCCCAAGAAAUGGCAAAAAGACAAAAAUAUAUAUAUAUAUGGAAUCCAGUACAAAACUAGACAAGAUAUGGACACAACCUAAGCACCCACUGAUGGAUCUGGAUUCUUAAAAUUAUAUGCAAAUGAUAUGACCCCUAAGGGGUUAAUAUCCAAAAUAUAUAAAUAGCUCAAACAACUCAACAUCAAAAAGAGACAGACAACCUGAUAGAAAAAUGGGUAAAGGACCUGAGCAGACAUUUUUCCAAAGAGGAAAUGCAGACAACUGGCACCUGAAAAGAUGUUCAGCAUCACUAAUUAUCAGGGAAAUACAAAUUAAAAGCACCAUAUCACCUCACACCUGUCAGAAUGGCCAUCACCAAAAGGGAUAAUACAAAUAACCAAUGUUGGUGAAGAUGUGGAGAAAAGGGAGCCCUAUACACUGCUGGUAAAAAUGUAAAUUGGUGUAGCCACAGUAGAAAGCAGUAUGGAGAUUUCUCAAAAAACGAAAAACAGAACUACCAUAUAACCCAGAAAUUCCACUCCUGGAUAUACAUUCCAAAAAAACCCAAAAACCUUUCAUUUGAAAAAAUACAUGCACCCCAAUGUUCACAGCAGCAUUAUUUACAAUCUCCAAGAUAGAGAAACAACCCAAGUGUGCAUCCACAGAAGAAUGGAUAAAGAUGUAAUGUAUAUAUUACAUAAUAUAUAUAAACACCGUACAUAAUAAUGUAAUAGUAUAACAACAUAUACAUACUGGAAUAUUACUCAGCCAUAAAAAGAACAAAAUUUUGCCAUUUGUAAAGACACGGAUGGACUUGGAGGAUAUCACACUAAGUGAAGUUAAGUCAGACAGAGAAAGACAAAUACCAUAUAAUUAUCACUUCUACCUGGAAUCUAAAAAAUACAACAAACUAAUGCAUAUAACAAAAAAGAAAUAGACUCAUAGAUAUAAAGAAACUAGUGCUUAUUGAUAGGGAGAGGGGCAGUAGAGGGAGAGGGGAUCAAGAGGUAUAAACCAUUAUGUGUAAAAUAAGCUACGAGGAUAUAUUGUACACACAGGAAAUACAGCCGAUAUUUGAUAAUAACUACAAAGAGAGUAUAAUCUUUAAAGUUGUGCAUCACUAUAGGGUACACCUGCAACUUAUAUAAUAUUGCACAUCAACUAUACUUCAAUUUGAAAAAAAUGUAAUGCAUAUACAGCAGUUCCCCCUUAGCCUCGGUUUCACUUUUCACAGUUUCAGUUACCCAUGGUCAGCCAUGGUCCAAAAAUAUUACAUGGAAAAUUCCAGAAAUAAUCAAUUCAUAAGUUUUAAAUUGUUUUGAGUAGCUUGAUGAAACUUCAUGUUCUCCUGUUCCAUCCUGACCAUUAGUCCAGCAUAACGUACCCCUUAGUCACCUAGGAACUGUCUGGGUUAUCGGAUCAACUGUUGUAAUAACUUAGUGCUUCUGUUAAAGUUACCCGUAUUUUCUUAAUAAUGGUCCCAAAGCACAUGAGUAGUGAUGCUGGUGAUUCAGAUCUCCCAAAGAGAAGUCAUAAAGCCCUUCCUUUAAGUGAAAAGGUGCAAGAUCUCAACCUAAUAACGAAAAAAAAUCGUAUGCUGAGAUUGCUAAAAUGAAUCUUCUGUUUGUGAAAUUGUGAAGAAGACAAAAACUCUGUGAAAUUGUGAAGAAGAAAAAAUUUUGCUGUUGCACCUCAAACUGCAAAAGUUACAGCCAUAGCGUGUGUUAAGUGUUUCAUGAAGAUGGAAGAGUCUUAACUUUACACAGUAAAAUAUUUUGAGACAGAGACCACAUUCACAUAACUUUUAUUCCAGUAUAUUGUUAUAACUGUCCUAUUUUAUUAUUAGUUAUUGCUGUUCAUCUCUUACUGCACUUAAUUUAUAAAUUAAACUUGAUCAGAAAUGUACAUAUAGGAAAAGACAUAGUAUACGUAAGGUUUGCUACUUUCCACAGUUUUCAGCAUCCAUUAGGGGUCUUAGACCAUAUUUCCUGUGGAUAAGAAAUAUAUAUAUAUAUAUACAUACAAACACUGAAAAAGAAGGAAACCUUGACAUUUGCAACAACAUAGACGAACCUGGAAGACAUUAUGCUAAGGAAAAUAAGCCAGACACAGAAAGAUAAAUAUUAUAGGAUGUCACUCAUAUAUAGAAUCUAGAAAUGUAAAACUCAGAGAACCAGAGAGUAGAACUGUGGUUGCCAGGGACUGGGAGCACGGGGCAAACAGAGAGCGCUGGUCAAAGGGUAUACACUUCUAGUUAAAAGAGGAAUAAAUU